RNAcentral lists this ribosomal RNA (373 nucleotides) under uncultured organism. RNAcentral's name for it is "bacterial SSU rRNA". It matches the Rfam family "Bacterial small subunit ribosomal RNA", at positions 526 to 896 of the family's 1533-position model. The record is from RNAcentral.
CGAAGGGUGCAAGCGUUAUUCGGAUUUAUUGGGUGUAAAGGGUGCGUAGACGGCAUAUUAAGUCCGCUGUUAAAUUUCCCGGCCUAACUGGGAGCCAGCGGUGGAUACUGAUGUGCUAGAGGAUGGAAGAGAGAAGUGGAAUUCCCGGAGUAGCGGUAAAAUGCGUAGAUCUCGGGAGGAACACCAAUGGCGAAGGCAGCUUCUUGGUCCAUAUCUGACGUUGAGGCACGAAAGCGUGGGGAGCAAACAGGAUUAGAUACCCUGGUAGUCCACGCUGUAAACGAUAAUCACUAGAUGUUGGUUUGACUUAGUCGGAUCAGUAUCGUAGCUAACGCGUUAAGUGAUUCACCUGGGGAUUACGGUCGCAAGACUA